RNAcentral lists this transfer RNA (61 nucleotides) under Timarete posteria. RNAcentral's name for it is "tRNA-Ala". The record is from RNAcentral. Lineage: Eukaryota; Metazoa; Annelida; Polychaeta; Terebellida; Cirratulidae.
GGCAUAAUAAUUUAAAAAGAAUAUUUAAUUUGCAAUUAUAAAGUGGCAACGCCUUAUGCCC